This is a small nucleolar RNA of Lotus japonicus, 104 nucleotides long. RefSeq annotates it as small nucleolar RNA snoR27. Lineage: Eukaryota; Viridiplantae; Streptophyta; Magnoliopsida; Fabales; Fabaceae. The transcript has a single exon. The record is from RefSeq and is a predicted model, not a curated record.
UUUUUAUCAAUGAUGUUAUUGUUUAACUGCGUUAUCUAUCUGAAACCUCAUAUGUACCAAAAAAAAAUCUAUCUGAAACCUCAUGGACGAAUUGAAGAUAAACA